Molecule: ribosomal RNA, 887 nt
Filed under: uncultured organism
Description: bacterial SSU rRNA
Rfam family: Bacterial small subunit ribosomal RNA
Source: RNAcentral
UGCUUAACACAUGCAAGUCGAACGCAACCUUCGGGUUGAGUGGCGGACGGGUGAGUAACGCGUGAGAAUCUGCCUUGGGGUCGGGGACAACCACUGGAAACGGUGGCUAAUACCGGAUAAGCCUUUGGGUAAAAGAUUUAUUGCCCCAAGAGGAGCUCGCGUCUGAUUAGCUAGUUGGUGAGGUAAAAGCUCACCAAGGCAGCGAUCAGUAGCUGGUCUGAGAGGACGAUCAGCCACACUGGGACUGAGACACGGCCCAGACUCCUACGGGAGGCAGCAGUGGGGAAUUUUCCGCAAUGGGCGAAAGCCUGACGGAGCAAGACCGCAUGAGGGAGGAAGGCUCUUGGGUUGUAAACCUCUUUUCUCAGGGAAGAAGCUCUGACGGUACCUGAGGAAUCAGCCUCGGCUAACUCCGUGCCAGCAGCCGCGGUAAUACGGAGGAGGCAAGCGUUAUCCGGAAUUAUUGGGCGUAAAGCGUCCGCAGGUGGCGAUUCAAGUCUGCUGUCAAAGCACGGGGCUUAACUCCGUUAAGGCAGUGGAAACUGAAUAGCUAGAGUGCCGUAGGGGUAGAGGGAAUUCCCGGUGUAGCGGUGAAAUGCGUAGAGAUCGGGAAGAACAUCGGUGGCGAAAGCGCUCUACUGGACGGCAACUGACACUCAGGGACGAAAGCUAGGGGAGCGAAUGGGAUUAGAUACCCCAGUAGUCCUAGCUGUAAACGAUGGAUACUAGGUGUAGCUUGUAUCGACCCGAGCUGUGCCGAAGCUAACGCGUUAAGUAUCCCGCCUGGGGAGUACGCACGCAAGUGUGAAACUCAAAGGAAUUGACGGGGGCCCGCACAAGCGGUGGAGUAUGUGGUUUAAUUCGAUGCAACGCGAAGAACCUUACCA